GACGAACGCUGGCGGCGUGCUUAACACAUGCAAGUCGAACGCUGAAGCUUGGUGCUUGCCCUGGGUGGAUGAGUGGCGAACGGGUGAGUAAUACGUGAGUAGCCUGCCCUUGACUCUGGGAUAAGCCUGGGAAACUGGGUCUAAUACUGGAUACGACAUGUCACCGCAUGGUGGUGUGUGGAAAGGGUUUUACUGGUUUUGGAUGGGCUCACGGCCUAUCAGCUUGUUGGUGGGGUAAUGGCUCACCAAGGCGACGACGGGUAGCCGGCCUGAGAGGGUGGGGGGCGGGGCUGGGAGUAAUAUACCGCAGGGGCGCAUGCGGGGGGGCGGCGAGGGGGAUAGUGCGAGCUGGGCGGAAGCCUGAUGCAGCAAGUCCGCGUGAGAGGUAACGGAGGUGGGGUUGUAGGCAGAGGUCGGGCCGGAAAAAGCGAAAGCAGCGGCAGGGGCAAGAGAGGGGAAGCCUCAAUACCUC
RNAcentral lists this ribosomal RNA (472 nucleotides) under uncultured bacterium. Its description in RNAcentral is "partial 16S ribosomal RNA". The stretch from base 12 to 378 matches the Rfam family "Bacterial small subunit ribosomal RNA", at positions 39 to 400 of the family's 1533-position model. The record is from RNAcentral.